GUCGAGAAGCUUCGGCAAUGGGCGAAAGCCUGACCGAGCGACGCCGCGUGAGCGAUGAAGGCCUUAUUGGUUGUAAAGCUCUGUCAGAUUGGGAAGAAAUGCCGGGGGCGAAUACCCUCCGGCUCUGACGGUACCAUCAGAGGAAGCACCGGCUAACUCCGUGCCAGCAGCCGCGGUAAUACGGAGGGUGCUAGCGUUGUUCGGAUUCACUGGGUAUAAAGGGUGCGUAGGCGGCCUGGUAAGUCAGAGGUGAAAUCUGUCGGCUCAACCGGCAAAUUGCCUCUGAAACUGUCGGGCUUGAGUCCGGGAGAGGAAGGUGGAAUUCCUGGUGUAGCGGUGAAAUGCGUAAAUAUCAGGAGGAACACCGGUGGCGAAGGCGGCCUUCUGGCCCGGUACUGACGCUGAGGCACGAAAGCCAGGGGAGCGAACGGGAUUAGAUACCCGAGUAGUCC
This 452-nucleotide ribosomal RNA is filed under the name uncultured bacterium. Its description in RNAcentral is "bacterial SSU rRNA". It matches the Rfam family "Bacterial small subunit ribosomal RNA", at positions 354 to 796 of the family's 1533-position model. The record is from RNAcentral.